Molecule: ribosomal RNA, 79 nt
Filed under: Candidatus Microbacterium stercoravium
Lineage: Bacteria; Bacillati; Actinomycetota; Actinomycetes; Micrococcales; Microbacteriaceae
Source: RNAcentral
UCCGAACCCGGAAGCUAAGCUUCUCAGCGCCGAUGGUACUGCAAGGGGGACUUUGUGGGAGAGUAGGACGCCGCCGAAC